UUGACAUAUUUUUUCCACCUUUUAUAUAGCGUAACCAGGUCAGGCAUUUUAAACUAGAGGCCGCAAUGUGUGCGAAUAAUUGGCAAAAGGCAACCUCAGGCUGCCUUUUUCUUU
Molecule: unclassified non-coding RNA, 114 nt
Filed under: Enterobacter kobei
Lineage: Bacteria; Pseudomonadati; Pseudomonadota; Gammaproteobacteria; Enterobacterales; Enterobacteriaceae
Description: SraB RNA
Source: RNAcentral